CGGAGUCGAUGAGGUCUGCGAGCGGUUCGGGAUGACGAGCGAGCUGGAUUGGUGCCGGGAGUCCAAGC
RNAcentral lists this transfer RNA (68 nucleotides) under Trieres chinensis. RNAcentral's name for it is "partial Selenocysteine transfer RNA". Lineage: Eukaryota; Bacillariophyta; Thalassiosirophyceae; Eupodiscales; Parodontellaceae. The record is from RNAcentral.